Long non-coding RNA from Sinocyclocheilus anshuiensis, 502 nucleotides. RefSeq lists it as uncharacterized. Lineage: Eukaryota; Metazoa; Chordata; Actinopteri; Cypriniformes; Cyprinidae. The transcript has 2 exons. The record is from RefSeq and is a predicted model, not a curated record.
GUUGGGAUAGCGCAAGUGAGCUGAACUUCUGCGCUGCUGUAGUGCACUAUCCUCAAUUUAAUACUUUAUUUCAGAGAUUAUUUCCUUUGACGAAAACAGCUCUAGCCUCGUGCGCUUUUAUUAACACCACAAGGACUGUCGGACUCGCUCUUCUCCCAGUAAUUAACAGGUUUAUCGGGAAGUUGAGAUGUUUACAGUGAUAUCCGGGUUUCCAGUGCUGUCCUGUGAUUUCUGAAAGCAGGUAAGCCACUGACUAACGCACAUUGCGCCUGUUCUCCACUCCACUGUGCGUGUGACAGCGGCUAACCAGCUUUUGGAUGAGUGCCUGACCUCAGCGUCCCACCGGAGCGUCCUGAGCGGCUUGAGGCGGACACGGCCCCUGGAGGGACGACUUUGGGCCCCCGGCCCUCCACCAAGUCUUUUUGUUCCCCUGGUAAAGCACUGCGCUUGAAACCCAGAGGUUGUGGGUUCAAAUCCCAUGCAACACGUGCUAAGAAAGGGA